This 166-nucleotide unclassified non-coding RNA is filed under the name uncultured Penicillium. Its description in RNAcentral is "sequence contains ITS2". Lineage: Eukaryota; Fungi; Ascomycota; Eurotiomycetes; Eurotiales; Aspergillaceae. The record is from RNAcentral.
CUGCCCUCAAGCCCGGCUUGUGUGUUGGGCCCCGUCCUCCGAUUCCGGGGGACGGGCCCGAAAGGCAGCGGCGGCACCGCGUCCGGUCCUCGAGCGUAUGGGGCUUUGUCACCCGCUCUGUAGGCCCGGCCGGCGCUUGCCGAUCAACCAAAUUUUAUUAUCCAGG